This 562-nucleotide long non-coding RNA is filed under the name Setaria viridis. RNAcentral's name for it is "long non-coding RNA (SVIR_LNC000547)". The record is from RNAcentral. Lineage: Eukaryota; Viridiplantae; Streptophyta; Magnoliopsida; Poales; Poaceae.
GUGUUAUCAGCCUCCUGGGACUGAUAAUUGGAUCACAUUUAGUCUCUACUUAUGUGGGGACGCUUCAUUCAGCCUGUGAGAAGGUGGACAGAAGGAUCAAUUAACACCCAGCUGUUUGAAAAAAUAUGAAUAAGAAGUUAUCACUGCCUAUAAAUAUGCCAGCAAGGCAGUCCAACAUCUGAAGAAAGCAUCUGUUCAGGCUGAAACAAAAAAGAAGUUUCAUCUAUUCAGGCUGAAACAAAAUCAAGUAUAUCAGCUCAUUGGCCACCCCAGUGAUGACUUCCCUCAUGUGGCCUCAAUCCUUGUGAGCUCAUCUUUCCUGUCAGGCUGAAACAACGAAGUACGUGAGACCAAAUUUGCGAUAUGUAACUGUAAACGAAUAGUAAGUUCUGGUUAUAUUUUGUAAUCGAUGUACAAGUCAAUGGCUUCUUACCAUAGCACACGUACAAGUCAAUAGCUUCUUACCAUAGAACACGUUCAUUUCCUCCGGUUUCAUUUAUCUGAUAGUCUAAGGACUGCACAAGUUAUCGUAAGUUGCCUACCAGUUACAAGUAUUCCCAAC